Long non-coding RNA from Dermacentor albipictus, 576 nucleotides. RefSeq lists it as uncharacterized. Lineage: Eukaryota; Metazoa; Arthropoda; Arachnida; Ixodida; Ixodidae. The record is from RefSeq and is a predicted model, not a curated record.
GAACAUUUUCGUUGCAAAUUCAAAAAUCGUCUGGCGUUAUCCACGAGACUUUCGAUAUGAAGCAGGAUCAGCCCAACCAUUAUUUUUACAGAGCAGUAUUAGCAGCCUCUUGCAUAGUUUCGGUCGUUAUUGCGCGGAAACCUUCAGUGUGUGACCAAAAAGGUUAUGGGUGCGUGUAUCACACAAACUGCCCGAAGACGCUUUACCUACCCUAUCCUGGUUGCUCUGGUUUUAAAUCCUGCUGCAAAAUAGAUAAGCUGAAAAAGUGCUACUACAAGGGAGGUUUCUGCAAGGCAAAUUGUGAUGGAGAUGUGAACGAAUACGGGCAGUGUUCCCGGGGGAAGAAGUGCUGCUUACCAUGACAGCUCUACCGCGCCGACUUUUGAUUCGCGGUUCUUGUGUUGCCUACAUAUUCAGUAUAACUAAAUGUGAACCUUGCCUUUCAUAUGAGCACUAACUUUCCUGCGCACCCUUGAGAUCAUACAUAUGACACCGUACUUAAAACCGAUGUAUAUUUGAAAAAAAAAAAGAUGUUCGCACACAAUUUCUUUUGCUACUGUCAUUAAACUACCUCGU